AUUGAACGCUGGCGGAAUGCUUUACACAUGCAAGUCGAACGGCAGCACGGGUGCUUGCACCUGGUGGCGAGUGGCGAACGGGUGAGUAAUGCACCGGAACGUAUCCAAUAAUGGGGGAUAACGCACCGAAAGGUGUGCUAAUACCGCAUACGCCCUGAGGGGGAAAGCGGGGGAUCGUAAGACCUCGCGUUAAUGGAGCGGCCGAUGCCGGAUUAGCUAGUUGGUGAGGUAAAGGCUCACCAAGGCGACGAUCCGUAGCUGGUCUGAGAGGAUGAUCAGCCACACUGGGACUGAGACACGGCCCAGACUCCUACGGGAGGCAGCAGUGGGGAAUAUUGGACAAUGGGCGCAAGCCUGAUCCAGCAAUGCCGCGUGUGUGAAGAAGGCCUGCGGGUUGUAAAGCACUUUUGUUCGGGAAGAAAUCAAUGCUGGUUAAUACCUGGUAUGGAUGACGGUACCGAAAGAAUAAGACACCGGCUAACUUCGUG
Molecule: ribosomal RNA, 488 nt
Filed under: uncultured bacterium
Lineage: Bacteria
Description: bacterial SSU rRNA
Rfam family: Bacterial small subunit ribosomal RNA
Source: RNAcentral